This 243-nucleotide unclassified non-coding RNA is filed under the name uncultured fungus. Its description in RNAcentral is "partial contains 5.8S ribosomal RNA, internal transcribed spacer 2, and large subunit ribosomal RNA". The stretch from base 1 to 52 matches the Rfam family "5.8S ribosomal RNA", at positions 103 to 154 of the family's 154-position model. Lineage: Eukaryota; Fungi. The record is from RNAcentral.
AACGCACAUUGCGCCCCUCGGUAUUCCGGGGGGCAUGCCUGUCCGAGCGUCAUUUCACCCCUCACGCCCCGCGUGGUCUUGGGCAUCGCCGGCCUCGCCGGCGGGCCUCAAAUGCAGUGGCGGCGCCCCCGGGCCCUCAGCGUAGUACCUCACCUCGCUGUCGGGUCCCGGCGGGACGCCUGCCCCAACCCCAACUUUCUUGAAAUUGACCUCGGAUCAGGUAGGGAUACCCGCUGAACUUAA